UAACAGAAAGUAGCUUGCUACUUUGCUGACGAGCGGCGGACGGGUGAGUAAUGCUUGGGAACAUGCCUUGAGGUGGGGGACAACAGUUGGAAACGACUGCUAAUACCGCAUAAUGUCUACGGACCAAAGGGGGCUUCGGCUCUCGCCUUUAUAUUGGCCCAAGUGGGAUUAGCUAGUUGGUGAGGUAAUGGCUCACCAAGGCGACGAUCCCUAGCUGGUUUGAGAGGAUGAUCAGCCACACUGGGACUGAGACACGGCCCACACUCCUACGGGAGGCAGCAGUGGGGAAUAUUGCACAAUGGGCGCAAGCCUGAUGCAGCCAUGCCGCGUGUGUGAAGAAGGCCUUCGGGUUGUAAAGCACUUUCAGUCAGGAGGAAAGCGUGGUGGUUAAUACCCAUCAUGUGUGACGUUACUGACAGAAGAAGCACCGGCUAACUCCGUGCCAGCAGCCGCGGUAAUACGGAGGGUGCGAGCGUUAAUCGGAAUUACUGGGCGUAAAGCGUACGCAGGCGGUUUGUUAAGCGAGAUGUGAAAGCCCCGGGCUCAACCUGGGAACUGCAUUUCGAACUGGCCAACUAGAGUGUGAUAGAGGGUGGUAGAAUUUCAGGUGUAGCGGUGAAAUGCGUAUAGAUCUGAAGGAAUACCGAUGGCGAAGGCAGCCACCUGGGUCAACUCUGACGCUCAUGUACGAUAGCGUGCGGAGCAAACGGGAUUAGAUACCCCGGUAGUCCACGCCGUAAACGAUGUCUACUAGAAGCUCGGA
This 763-nucleotide ribosomal RNA is filed under the name uncultured bacterium. RNAcentral describes it as "bacterial SSU rRNA". It matches the Rfam family "Bacterial small subunit ribosomal RNA", at positions 70 to 828 of the family's 1533-position model. The record is from RNAcentral.